This 71-nucleotide transfer RNA is filed under the name Crella elegans. RNAcentral's name for it is "tRNA-Tyr". It matches the Rfam family "tRNA". From Rfam's summary of the family: Transfer RNA (tRNA) molecules are approximately 80 nucleotides in length. Their secondary structure includes four short double-helical elements and three loops (D, anti-codon, and T loops). Further hydrogen bonds mediate the characteristic L-shaped molecular structure. tRNAs have two regions of fundamental functional importance: the anti-codon, which is responsible for specific mRNA codon recognition, and the 3' end, to which the tRNAs corresponding amino acid is attached (by aminoacyl-tRNA synthetases). tRNAs cope with the degeneracy of the genetic code in two manners: having more than one tRNA (with a specific anti-codon) for a particular amino acid; and 'wobble' base-pairing, i.e. permitting non-standard base-pairing at the 3rd anti-codon position. Lineage: Eukaryota; Metazoa; Porifera; Demospongiae; Poecilosclerida; Crellidae. The record is from RNAcentral.
AAUGAGGUGGCAGAGGGGUAUGUAGUCCGCUGUAAACGGAAAGUAGAAGAGUUCGAAUCUCUUUCUCGUUA